RNAcentral lists this ribosomal RNA (478 nucleotides) under uncultured bacterium. RNAcentral describes it as "partial 16S ribosomal RNA". It matches the Rfam family "Bacterial small subunit ribosomal RNA", at positions 28 to 523 of the family's 1533-position model. The record is from RNAcentral.
GACGAACGCUGGCGGCGUGCUUAACACAUGCAAGUCGAACGGUAAGGCCCUUCGGGGUACACGAGUGGCGAACGGGUGAGUAACACGUGGGUGAUCUGCCCUGCACUUCGGGAUAAGCCUGGGAAACUGGGUCUGAUACCGGAUAGGACCACUGCCUGCAUGGGUGGUGGUGGAAAGCUUUUGCGGUGUGGGAUGGGCCCGCGGCCUAUCAGCUUGUCGGUGGGGUGAUGGCCUACCAAGGCGACGACGGGUAGCCGGCCUGAGAGGGUGACCGGCCACACUGGGACUGAGAUACGGCCCAGACUCCUACGGGAGGCAGCAGUGGGGAAUAUUGCACAAUGGGCGCAAGCCUGAUGCAGCGACGCCGCGUGAGGGAUGACGGCCUUCGGGUUGUAAACCUCUUUCAGCACCGACGAAGCGCAAGUGACGGUAGGUGCAGAAGAAGGACCGGCCAACUACGUGCCAGCCGCCGCAGUAA